This 230-nucleotide ribosomal RNA is filed under the name uncultured bacterium. Its description in RNAcentral is "partial 16S ribosomal RNA". It matches the Rfam family "Bacterial small subunit ribosomal RNA", at positions 562 to 791 of the family's 1533-position model. The record is from RNAcentral.
AAAGCGUGCGCAGGCGGUUAUGUAAGACAGAUGUGAAAUCCCCGGGCUCAACCUGGGAACUGCAUUAGUGACUGCAUAGCUGGAGUACGGCAGAGGGGGAUGGAAUUCCGCGUGUAGCAGUGAAAUGCGUAGAUAUGCGGAGGAACACCGAUGGCGAAGGCAGCCCCCUGGGUCAAAACUGACGCUCAUGCACGAAAGCGUGGGGAGCAAACAGGAUUAGAUACCCUUGU